RNAcentral lists this ribosomal RNA (500 nucleotides) under uncultured bacterium. RNAcentral describes it as "bacterial SSU rRNA". It matches the Rfam family "Bacterial small subunit ribosomal RNA", at positions 8 to 507 of the family's 1533-position model. The record is from RNAcentral.
AGAGUUUGAUCCUGGCUCAGGAUGAACGCUGGCGGCAUGCCUAACACAUGCAAGUCGAACGGGGUUUAUAUAACAGAACUCUUCGGAGGGAAGAUAUAUAAACCUAGUGGCGGACGGGUGAGUAACGCGUGGGCAACCUGCCCUGUACCGGGGGACAACAGCCAGAAAUGGCUGCUAAUACCGCAUAAGCCUGCGGUGCCGCAUGGCACAGCAGGGAAAACCACGGUGGUACAGGAUGGGCCCGCGUCUGAUUAGUUAGUUGGCAGGGUAACGGCCUACCAAGACGAUGAUCAGUAGCCGGCUUGAGAGAGUGGACGGCCACAUUGGGACUGAGACACGGCCCAGACUCCUGCGGGAGGCAGCAGUGGGGAAUAUUGCACAAUGGGGGGAACCCUGAUGCAGCAAUGCCGCGUGGGUGAAGAAGCACUCCGGUGCGUAAAGCCCUGUCAGCAGGGAAGAAAAUGACAGUACCUGACCAAGAAGCCCCGGCUAACUACGUG